GCCCUGCCUGGGGUGGGUGGUGUGUGUGUGUGUGUGUGUGUGUGUGUGUGAACUGGGGUCUCCACCCGAUGCCCGCCGUCCCCCCCCCCCCCCCCA
Molecule: microRNA precursor, 96 nt
Filed under: Pelodiscus sinensis (Chinese soft-shelled turtle)
Lineage: Eukaryota; Metazoa; Chordata; Testudines; Trionychidae
Description: miRNA (ENSPSIG00000020078.1)
Source: RNAcentral